This 76-nucleotide transfer RNA is filed under the name Fasciola hepatica (liver fluke). RNAcentral's name for it is "tRNA-Thr". The stretch from base 8 to 65 matches the Rfam family "tRNA", at positions 8 to 63 of the family's 71-position model. From Rfam's summary of the family: Transfer RNA (tRNA) molecules are approximately 80 nucleotides in length. Their secondary structure includes four short double-helical elements and three loops (D, anti-codon, and T loops). The record is from RNAcentral. Lineage: Eukaryota; Metazoa; Platyhelminthes; Trematoda; Plagiorchiida; Fasciolidae.
AUCGCAGUAGCUCAGUUGGUGGAGCCUCUGCCCGGUAAGCGGGGUGUCGCCGGUUCGAUUCCGGCUCUCGGCGUUG